Arachis duranensis is the source of this 333-nucleotide long non-coding RNA. RefSeq lists it as uncharacterized. NCBI's taxonomy places the organism in Eukaryota, Viridiplantae, Streptophyta, Magnoliopsida, Fabales, Fabaceae. The transcript has 2 exons. The record is from RefSeq and is a predicted model, not a curated record.
UCCAAAAUCAUCACUCUGUUCUCUUUUAAUCUCCUAGGUUUCUGUUCCAAAUCAUUCCACUUUUCUUGCUGGUUAUCUUUACUAUGAUUUGUGCCCAAGGCUUGUUGCAAAUGGACGGUUAAUAGAGGAGUGCUGAAAUGGUGACCAUAUGCUACUUUGAGGGCUCAAGAAUGUUUUGAUGCAUAGAGACACUAAUCUAUGUUAGAACUUUUAUGUUUUGGUUGAACUUUUAUGUUAGAACUUUUAUGUUUUUGUUGAACUAAUCAAUGUACUCACUAGUUAAUGUUAUUUUGUUUCAAGACAAUUUUAGCUUAAAGGAUCUUGUUUGACUUA